This 67-nucleotide transfer RNA is filed under the name Alectoris chukar (chukar partridge). Its description in RNAcentral is "tRNA-Phe". Lineage: Eukaryota; Metazoa; Chordata; Aves; Galliformes; Phasianidae. The record is from RNAcentral.
GCCCACAUAGCUUAACCCAAAGCAUGACACUGAAGAUGUUAAGAUGGUACCCAUACUACCUGUGGAC